Molecule: ribosomal RNA, 2800 nt
Filed under: human gut metagenome
Description: bacterial LSU rRNA
Rfam family: Bacterial large subunit ribosomal RNA
Source: RNAcentral
AGGGCGCAAGGGGAAUGCCUUGGCACUGAGAGCCGACGAAGGACGCGACAAGCUGCGAUAAGCUACGGGGAGCCGCAAAUGGGCUUUGAUCCGUAGAUUUCCGAAUGGGGAAACCCGGCAGAGCAAUACUCUGUCAACGUACACUGAAUACAUAGGUGUACGUGGGGAACCGCCUGAACUGAAACAUCUAAGUAGGGCGAGGAAGAGAAAUCAACCGAGAUUCCGCUAGUAGUGGCGAGCGAACGCGGAAGAGGCCAAACCAAGAGUAGUAAUACUUUUGGGGUUUUGGACAGCGUACGGUAUUAACUGCGGUUAGUAGAAUGAAAUGGGAAGUUCAACCACAGAGCGUGAUAGUCGCGUACACGAAAACUAAAGUUAGCCAGCUGGAUCCAGAGUACCGCCGGACACGUGAAACCCGGUGGGAAGACGGGGGGACCACCCUCCAAGCCUAAAUACUCUCCAAUGACCGAUAGUGUAUAGUACUGUGAAGGAAAGGUGAAAAGAACCCCUGGCGGGGAGUGAAAUAGAACCUGAAACCUUGUGCCUACAAGCACAUAGAGCGCGUCAAUGCGUGAUAUGGUACCUUUUGUAGAAUGGUCCGGCGAGUGAAUGUCACUGGCAAGGUUAAGCUCUUCAGGAGUGCAGCCGAAGCGAAAGCGAGUCUGAAAUGGGCGUUUUAGUCAGUGGUAUUCGACCCGAAACCGGGUGACCUAGCCAUGAGCAGGCUGAAGUGGAGGUAAAACUCCAUGGAGGGCCGAACCCACUCCCGUUGAAAUGGUAGGGGAUGACUUGUGGCUAGCGGAGAAAUUCCAAUCGAACCCGGAGAUAGCUGGUUCUCUCCGAAAUAGCUUUAGGGCUAGCCUUGAAAUAGAUUACCGGAGGUAAAGCACUGAAUUGGCUAGGGGCCGAGAGGUUACUGAACCUUAUCAAACUAAGAAUGCCGGAUAAUCGUUUUUCAGGAGUCAGACAGUGGGAGAUAAGUUUCAUUGUCAAAAGGGAAACAGCCCAGACCCACAGCUAAGGUCCCCAAGUAUAGUUAAGUGGAAAAGGAUGUGGAAUUGCACAGACAACCAGGAUGUUGGCUUAGAAGCAGCCACUCAUUAAAAGAGUGCGUAAUAGCUCACUGGUCGAGUGACUCUGCGCCGAAAAUUUAACGGGGCUAAACUAUACACCGAAGCUUGGGAUACAUCUAAUGUAUGGUAGGAGAGCGUUCUGUAUGGGGAGAAGUCGUAGCGAAAGCGGCGGUGGACUAUACAGAAGUGAGAAUGCCGGAAUAAGUAGCGAGAAUUAAGUGAGAAUCUUAAUGGCCGAAAGUCUAAGGUUUUUGGAGGAAGGUUCGUCCGCUCCAAGUAAGUCGGGAGCUAAGGUCAGGCCGAAAGGCGUAGCCGAUGCACAUACGGUUGAUAUUCCGUAACCAUCUGUAAUUUAAGCAAAGGGACACUUCAAAAGGGUGUGACCCGGGCGUUGGUUGACCCGGGCGUAAGGGACCGAAAUUAGAGUAGGGAAGCACACUUAGCUGAAGGCGAGAAAAGCUUUGCGUAUAGAAGCAGAUGCCCGUACCGCAAACCGACACAGGUGGACAGGAAGAGAAUUCUAAGGCCAGCGGGAGAAGGGUAGUUAAGGAACUCGGCAAAUUGACUCCGUAACUUCGGAAUAAGGAGUGCUCGAAAGAGCCGCAGAGAAUAGGCCCAGGCGACUGUUUAGCAAAAACACAGGUCUCUGCCAAAUCGAAAGAUGAAGUAUAGGGGCUGACACCUGCCCGGUGCCGGAAGGUUAAGAGGAGGAGUGAGAGCUCCGAAUUGAAGCCCCGGUAAACGGCGGCCGUAACUAUAACGGUCCUAAGGUAGCGAAAUUCCUUGUCGGGUAAGUUCCGACCCGCACGAAUGGUGUAACGACUUGUGAGCUGUCUCAACAGGGGGCCCGGUGAAAUUGAAGUAUGGGUGAAGAUGCCCAUUACCCGCGACUGGACGGAAAGACCCCGUAGAGCUUUACUGCAGCCUGAUAUUGAGUUUCGGUAACUGAUGCACAGGAUAGGUGGGAGUCUGAGAGACAUGGGUUUCGGCUCAUGUGGAGACGGUGUUGGGAUACCACUCUUCGGUUACUGAAAUUCUAACAUAGCUCUGUGAAACCAGAGGAUGGACAGUGUCAGGUGGACAGUUUGACUGGGGCGGUCGCCUCCGAAAGAGUAACGGAGGCGCCCAAAGGUACCCUCAGAAUGGAUGGAAACCAUUCGAAGAGCGCAAAGGCAGAAGGGUGCCUGACUGCGAGAUUGACAAAUCGAGCAGAGACGAAAGUCGGGCUUAGUGAUCCGGCGGUAUUGAGUGGAAAAGCCGUCGCUUAACGGAUAAAAGCUACCUCGGGGAUAACAGGCUGAUCUCCCCCAAGAGUCCACAUCGACGGGGAGGUUUGGCACCUCGAUGUCGGCUCGUCGCAUCCUGGGGCUGGAGAAGGUCCCAAGGGUCCGGCUGUUCGCCGGUUAAAGCGGCACGCGAGCUGGGUUCAGAACGUCGCGAGACAGUUCGGUCCUCUAUCCUCUGUGGGCGUUGGAAAAUUGAGGGGUUCAGACCUUAGUACGAGAGGACCGGGUCUGACGCACCACUGGUGCAUCGGUUGUACUGUCAAGUGCAUGGCCGAGUAGCUAAGUGCGGACGGGAUAAGCGCUGAAAGCAUCUAAGCGCCAAGCCCUUCCCAAGAUGAGUUUUCCCUACAGGUUCGUGGAAGACCACCACGUUGAUAGGUCGCAGGUGUAAGUGCAGCAAUGUAUUGAGCCGAGCGAUACUAAUUACCAAUUGACUUCAUC